UAAAUUAGUUUUGAAUUUUAAAUUUUACUUUUAAAAAAAUGAAAACAAAGCGAUUGGAAUCAUUUAUCGACAACCCUUGACAACCUGAAGAUCACCUCAUUUUGGUCGAUAAAUUGCACAGAAAUGCUCAAAAACUACUGAGCAAUAUCAUGGAUAAAUUUAUUUGGCGUAAAAAUUUGUCAUUUCAUCGAUGGUGAAGCUACAGGCACUAGUUGUGCAGCAGCAGCAACAGUCUAGCGGCAGUCCGACGGUGUACCGGUAAAUUGUUGUAUUUUUUUCGUAUUUAAUACUUUAAUUAACAUAAAAAGGAUUAUCAAUAAUAUAAAUUAUAAAA
Molecule: long non-coding RNA, 334 nt
Filed under: Citrus x clementina
Lineage: Eukaryota; Viridiplantae; Streptophyta; Magnoliopsida; Sapindales; Rutaceae
Description: Citrus clementina (C. clementina) long non-coding RNA (CCLE_LNC001935)
Source: RNAcentral